AAAAAACUCCCCACACGUGAUGAUCACCCUGUGGUCAGUUUUGUUUGAAUAUGUUCCAACCUACAGAGUAGUUGUGGGUAGUUUUGACUGUUCACGAUAAUAUUUACAAAGAAUUGAAUAAAUAUUUUUUAUUUCCAAAUAUUGGUGGUGGUCGUGGUGAUUAAGAAUCUGAAUCGGAUGAACCAGCCUUGCCUUUAGAGAAAUGUCCAAGUUACGUUUGGUUUAUGGGGGCUCUAUAUUGGGAGAAGUGAAGAGGCCUAGGACCCAGGAUUUCCAAGAUAAGGUUGUUCAGCAGGGCUCAUAGAGAACAUCAUUUAGAAUUUGGCUUGUUCCCAAAUGAUUCCCUUUAUAAUUCUUAACAGAGAGGCUCUGACUGUAUCAGUAUGGUGUUUCUUUAUUAAGCAAAAGCUCAUGCCAAGUGACUUCAGGUGCAUUUGACUUCAUAUUUAGUCACAGUGUGAAUUUCUGUAUGAUUAACUUACCCAUCACCGUGAUGAAGAAUGAGAUGGUGGUAGUGAUGCUGUGAUUAUAUUACCUCUUUCAUCCUUGAUUUUUGGUGAUUAGUCUUCCUUGAAACUUUCUCUUGACAUGGACCAUCAAUAUGGAAAUCUGAAGCUUCCAUUGAUGGAGGUGGUCUCUGAACUAGCAUCCAUCCAAGCCAGGAAUAGACUGCAAUAAACUUAUUGAGAAUAACACAAUCCUUAAUUGUAUGUGUAAUCCAUGGCUUUCACUGUCUUUACCACACCAAAUGGCAUUGCCAAGUCUUAUUUUUCCUCCUUCCUCUGCUUCUCACACAACCUCUUUUCUUCAUGCAAUUCCAUUUUCCAUUCCAUUUCCAUUCAAUGAAUCUUCCAAGCCUAAAGGUUUAAAUCUGGUCAUCCCCCUCUCUUCCAUGCAGUUUCAUUUCUAAGAUGGCAUUGAGGAUAUUGCCAUGGUUGUUUCAUACUUAGUUGUUAUUGUUAUGAUAGGUAAUAUAUAAUUCUGAACUAAAAUUGCUGGCUAUUUUUUGUCAUUGUGACAACAGGUUUUAGAAACAUAGCACUCCAAUUUUGCUACUGAAUGUUUUGAUUAAAUGGGAGGGACUAGAAGACUACAAUUUAAGAGCAGGCUUCAGCAAUAAUUUUUAAAAAUAGAUUCAGAGUCGAUCAUCUUACUAUAUUUCUAUCUAGGCUUAUCUCCCUUCAUGCAGUUAGUUACAACACUUGGAGGGCUGUUUCCAAGACUGGCACUAAAGAGGUCACUUUUUCCACUCUCUCUCCCAGAAAAUAUCAGGAAGUGCAGUAAGGUUCAUGAAAAUUUAAGCUUGAAGUUUAGAAAACUCAAAACAACCCAAACCCUCAAACAUUCAGUUUGGUUUGAAUCUUGGACAAAGGUUUUCUAUGCAGCUAGUGGAG
This 1394-nucleotide long non-coding RNA is filed under the name Homo sapiens (human). Its description in RNAcentral is "non-protein coding lnc-PARPBP-5:1". The record is from RNAcentral. Lineage: Eukaryota; Metazoa; Chordata; Mammalia; Primates; Hominidae.